UUAAAGGCAAUGAAAAAGAGGAGUACAAUGAGUGUGUGUAUUCAGAGAAGAAAUCCUUAGGCUGAGAGAUUUCUGACACCCCUUAUUAGAAGCAGCUUUUGAGUCUUGGUUCUGAACCUGUAGUAAGAAUCAGCGGAAGACAGCCGUUAUCUGUCGGGUAUUGAACUGUACUGGAGAGACCAUUUCGGUAAGUAGGGUGGUACCGCGAGAACACUCUCGUCCCUAUA
Molecule: non-coding RNA, 227 nt
Filed under: Geosporobacter ferrireducens
Lineage: Bacteria; Bacillati; Bacillota; Clostridia; Peptostreptococcales; Thermotaleaceae
Description: T-box sequence
Rfam family: T-box leader
About the family: Uncharged tRNA acts as the effector for transcription antitermination of genes in the T-box leader family.
Source: RNAcentral